UGAGCAGGUUCUCCAGGAUCUGGGGCAGCAGCCCCUUCCGCACUGAGGUCUUCACAAACUCGUCCCCGGUGGGGGUCCUGAUGAACUGAUCCUCAGUCAGGCUGGGUUGGAAGAUGUUGGGGUGACUGCCGGCCACCCUCCUGCUCCAGCCCACCUCUGCCCUACGGUCCUGGCCUUGGCCAUGAGCACACGCAGGCCCCUCAAGCACCCCUCCACUCCCUACUAUCUCUGGGCCUGUGCCUAUGCCCCCCACCAGACUGAGCCCCCCAAGGGAAGGCCCAGAUGGGCCUCGGGGGACACAUGCUGAAUUGGGCACUAUACCCCAGUUUCUGUGCAGUCCCGGGCCGAAGGAGCGUGGUGUAACACAGGUUGUGGGCCAUCAUGAUGGACGGGUACAGCGAGGAGAAGUCCAGGGUGGCGAUGGGGACGUCGUAGUACCUGGGAGGGGAGCAGCCGCGGCCGGGAGUCAGGGCUAGGAGUUCCCAUGCCGCCCCCGCCCUGUCUUGUGGCCUCACCCUUUAAAAAAAAAAAAUCAUUCAUUGGCUGGGAGCAGUGCUCGCUCCUGCAAUCCCAGCACAUUGGGAGGCUGAGGCAGGAGGAUCGCUUGAACUCAGGAGUUUCAGAUCAGCCUGGGCAACAUGGCAAAACCCUAUCUCUACAAAAAAAUUUUAAAAAUUAGCCAGGUGUGGUGGUGCACGCCUGUGGUCCCAGCUACUCAGGGGCCUGAGGCAGGAGGAUUGCUUGAGCCUAGGAGGUGGAGUAAGCCAAGAUCAUGCCACCGCACUCCACCCUGGGUGACAGAGUGAGACCCUGUGUCAAAAAAAGAAAAAGAAAAAGAAAAAUAAUAUAUAUAAUUAAUCUACUAUUUUAUUUUAUUUUAUUUUUUUUGAGACGGAGUCUCGCUUUGUCACCCAGGCUGGAGUGCAGUGGCGCAAUCUCAGCUCACUGCAACCUCCACCUCCCGGGUUCAAGCGAUUCUUCUGCCUCAGCCUCCCGAGUAGCUGGCACUGCAGGCGCCCGCCACCAUGCCCAGCUAAUUUCUGUAUUUUUAGUAGAGACGGGGUUUCACCGUGUUAGCCAGGAUGGUCCCAAUCUCCUGAACUUGUGAUCCGCCUGCCUUGACCUCCCAAAGUGCUGGGAUUGAUUACAGGGGUGAGCCACCGUGCCUGGCCUAUUAAUUUAUUUUAGGGCCGGGGUGUUGCUCUGUCGCCCAGGCUGGAGGGCAGUGGCGCAAUCAUCGCUCACUGCAGCCUCCACCUCCUGGGCUCAUCAUCCUCCCAGCUCAGCCUCCCAAGUAGCUGGGAUUACAGGCAUGCACCACCACGCCUGGCUAAUUUUUAAAAAUUUUUUCGGCCGGGCACGGUGGCUCACGCCUAUAAUCCCAGCACUUUGGGAGGCCGAGGCAGGUGGAUCACGAGGUCAGAUCGAGACCAUCCUGGCUAACACGGUGAAACCCCGUCCCUACUAAAAAUGCAAAAAAAAAAAAAAAAAAAAAAAUUAGCCAGGCGUGGUGGUGGGCGCCUGUAGUCCCAGCUGCUGUGGAGACUGAGGUAGGAGAAUGGCGUGAACCCGGGAGGCAAAGCUUGCAGUGAGCUGAGAUUGCGCCACUGCACUCCAGCCUGGGUGACAGAGCGAGACUCUGUCUCAAAAAAAUAAAAAUAAAAAUAAAUAAAAAUAAAAAAAUUUUGUGGAGCAGGGGCCUCGCUAUGUUGCCCUGGCUGGUCUCAAACUCCUGAGCUCAAGUGAUCCUCCCACCUCAGCCUCCCAGAGAUUACAGGUAAAAACUGCACCCAGCCUGGGGCCUCACCCUUUGAGGGGCUCGAUGACAGUGGCUCCCGUGUAGUCCUCGCCGCCCUCUGACUUCACCACGGGCAUCAGCAGCCCCUCGUGCAUGGCCUGGGAGGGGAGAAGGUGGGAAAUGGAGUGGGUAUAGGUGGGGCCGUGCGGAUUGGGAGUGGGGAGAAAAAGUGCAUCCAGGAUGCCAUUGCCUGGAGGGGGCCACAGACGUGCCUGGUGGGGGGUGGCGAGGACAAGUCUCGGCUACUGACCUGCCGCAACAGCUGGGAUACGACCUUGACCUGCUGGCCACGACUGAGCAGGUAGCUGAGGGGCACGCCAGUGACCCUCGCCAUCUCCACGGCGUUCACCAGCACCAUGAGCCGCUCCAGCAGCCGCAGUGGCAGGUAGGCAUCCUUCAGGCAGUACACAGCCAGGCGGCGGCGGGUCUGGUCGUUCCCAUUCUGGGGAUGGGCACGGAUGGGGUCAGGGACCAGGGGUUGGGGGUGGGAGGUGGAGCAGGAGAAGGAAGUGGGGGUCAGGGUGAGGUAGCCUGGGGAGGGCCUGGGAGGUGAGGCGGGCAGGAGGGCCCUCCAAGUCGUCAGGGUCUGGGUGGGGAUGGAGGUAGGGUUGGGGGCCAGGGAGUCCACAGGGCCAGAGGGAGGAGGAGGGAGCAGCCUGAAGGCCACCGUGGACCUGUGGUCAGGCCAGGAAAGCAGAGACAAGGUCAUAGUGACAGAGGUCACAGGAGUGGAGAGAAAUCUGGGGUCAGAGGUCAGGAAAAAGUGGGCGUCAGGUAAGGUCACAGGUCAUAACAGCAGGUCAAAGAGUGAGGUCAGACGUGGGGGCGUGAAGUUGAGGUCAGAGGCCGGGGAAGGGUGAGGUGGAGGUCAGAGGUUGGGGUGAGAGGUCAGGGAGGCAGCAGGCACCUGCAGGUCGGUGAUGAUGCUGUGCUGCACGUCCUCCUUCUGCUCGCCCAGGAAGUGGAAGCUCACGGCAUUGAGCGUGUAGGAGCGGAGCUUGUACUCCCGCAGCAGCACCUAGGUGGGUGGGUGGGCUGGUGGGCUGCGGGCCUGGGCAGUGGCCUUCCAAGGACAGGGACACACCCCACCUCCCGCCCAUACCUGCAGCAUGUCCAUCUGCACGCGGCCCACCAUGCUGACAACCUUGGUGUCCCGCCGGCCCGUCUGCUUGGACUGGAAUGAAGAGUCCCGGAUGU
RNAcentral lists this long non-coding RNA (2995 nucleotides) under Homo sapiens (human). RNAcentral describes it as "non-protein coding lnc-NAPSA-3:1". Lineage: Eukaryota; Metazoa; Chordata; Mammalia; Primates; Hominidae. The record is from RNAcentral.